This 92-nucleotide microRNA precursor is filed under the name Nomascus leucogenys (northern white-cheeked gibbon). Its description in RNAcentral is "mir-544 microRNA precursor family". It matches the Rfam family "mir-544 microRNA precursor family". Lineage: Eukaryota; Metazoa; Chordata; Mammalia; Primates; Hylobatidae. The record is from Rfam by way of RNAcentral.
AUCACCUGGGCAUCUUGUUAAAACGCAGGUUCUUGUUCAGUAAGGUGGGGUCUGAAAUUCUGCAUUUCUAACAAACUUCCAGGUGAUGUUGG